This 448-nucleotide ribosomal RNA is filed under the name uncultured Anaerolineaceae bacterium. Its description in RNAcentral is "bacterial SSU rRNA". It matches the Rfam family "Bacterial small subunit ribosomal RNA", at positions 923 to 1382 of the family's 1533-position model. The record is from RNAcentral. Lineage: Bacteria; Bacillati; Chloroflexota; Anaerolineae; Anaerolineales; Anaerolineaceae.
GCACAAGCAGCGGAGCGUGUGGUUUAAUUCGAUGCUACACGAAGAAUCUUACCAGGGUUUGACAUACAAGUAGUAGGGAAAGGAAACUGGACCGACCCUUCGGGGAGCUUGUACAGGUGCUGCAUGGCUGUCGUCAGCUCGUGUCGUGAGAUGUUCGGUUAAGUCCGCUAACGAGCGCAACCCUCGCUGUGUGUUACAAGUGUCACACGGAACUGCCGGUCAUAAACCGGAGGAAGGUGGGGAUGACGUCAAGUCAGCAUGGCCUUUAUAUCCUGGGCUACACACACGCUACAAUGGGAAGGGACAAUAGGUUGCGAAGCCGCGAGGCGGAGCCAAUCCAGCAAAACUUCCCUCAGUUCAGACUGCAGGCUGCAACUCGCCUGCAUGAAGUUGGAGUUGCUAGUAAACGCAGGUCAGCCAUACUGCGUUGAAUACGUUCCCGGGGCUU